AGAGAAAGACGACCUGACUAUAGUAUCAAUCCUUUGCGUUUGCUUGCUGUCAUUUUUUUAUAAUAACCCUUAAGAUAGAAUCUCGAAUAGAGUCUCGUAGCUCAGCCGGUUAGAGCGCUACACUGAUAAUGUAGAGGUCGGCAGUUCGAGUCUGCCCGAGACUACUAAAUUCCACAUUGGAAAAAAGGGGGGAUUAGCUCAGCUGGCUAGAGCGCCUGCCUUGCACGCAGGAGGUCAUCGGUUCGACUCCGAUAUUCUCCACAACUUCUUAAUGUAUUUUAAGAAUAAGAGUUCAUUGACAUAUUGAAAAUAUCAAGUACAAUUCAUAAAUUAUUCAGUUAUCCAAUUUAAUAGUUUUUUGAGAUUGUACAGAGUUAACGUAAAUAGGUAUUUAAUACUGUUAUUAUUAAAUACCAAAUAAUUUUACAAUUUAAGAAAGAGUUAAGAGUUACUUGUAACUUUUUAAUAAGUUAC
RNAcentral lists this transfer RNA (474 nucleotides) under uncultured Flavobacteriaceae bacterium. Its description in RNAcentral is "16S-23S ribosomal RNA intergenic spacer". The stretch from base 91 to 164 matches the Rfam family "tRNA". Lineage: Bacteria; Pseudomonadati; Bacteroidota; Flavobacteriia; Flavobacteriales; Flavobacteriaceae. The record is from RNAcentral.